UACGGAGGGGGCUAGCGUUGUCCGGAAUCAUUGGGCGUAAAGCGCGUGUAGGCGGUCCGGUAAGUCCGCUGUGAAAGUCGGGGGCUCAACCCUCGGAUGCCGGUGGAUACUGUCGGGCUUGAGUACGGAAGAGGCGAGUGGAAUUCCUGGUGUAGCGGUGAAAUGCGCAGAUAUCAGGAGGAACACCAAUUGCGAAGGCAGCCUCCUGGAUCGAUACUGACGCUGAGGCGCGAAAGCGUGGGGAGCAAACAGG
RNAcentral lists this ribosomal RNA (253 nucleotides) under uncultured bacterium. RNAcentral's name for it is "partial 16S ribosomal RNA". It matches the Rfam family "Bacterial small subunit ribosomal RNA", at positions 524 to 776 of the family's 1533-position model. The record is from RNAcentral.